This 368-nucleotide ribosomal RNA is filed under the name uncultured eukaryote. Its description in RNAcentral is "partial 18S ribosomal RNA". It matches the Rfam family "Eukaryotic small subunit ribosomal RNA", at positions 592 to 976 of the family's 1831-position model. The record is from RNAcentral.
CAAUAGUGUAUAUUAAAGUUGUUGCAGUUAAAAAGCUCGUAGUUGAACUUCUGACAGUGUGCAGUUUUGGCUUCGGUCAGGCUGUUCGCUGUCAUCCGUCUGCAAACCUUGUUCGACCUUCACUGGUACGGCAAGGGGAGUGGACAUUUUACUUUGAAAAAAUUAGAGUGUUUCAAGCAGGCAAUCGCCAGAAUACUUUAGCAUGGAAUAAUGGAAUAGGACUCUUGUCCAUUUGGUUGGUUAUUGGACAUGAGUAAUGAUUAAUAGGGACAGUUGGGGGCAUUAGUAUUUAAUUGUCAGAGGUGAAAUUCAUGGAUUUAUUAAAGACUAACUUAUGCGAAAGCAUUUGCCAAGGAUGUUUUCAUUAA